GAGCGGGGACCACCCCGUAAGCCUAAAUACUACUUAGUGACCGAUAGCGCAUAGUACUGUGAAGGAAAGGUGAAAAGGACCCCGGGAGGGGAGUGAAAGAGAACCUGAAACCCUGUGUUUACAAGCUGUGGAAGUUCUUUAAAUGAACAACCGCGUACUUUUUGUAGAACGGUCCGGCGAGUUGCGGAUACUGGCAAGGUUAAGCACUUAAGGUGCGGAGCCGAAGGGAUACCAAGUCUUAACAGGGCGUUAAGUCAGUAUACGCAGACCCGAAACCGGGUGAUCUAUCCAUGUCCAGGUUGAAGUUGUCGUAAAAGACAAUGGAGGACCGAAGCCACAUCCGUUGAAAAGGGUGGGCAUGAGGUGUGGAUAGGGGAGAAAUUCCAAUCGAACCCGGAGAUAGCUGGUUCUCCUCGAAAUAGCUUUAGGGCUAGCCUCGAUUUAGUCUUAUGGAGGUAGAGCACUGAAUUUCCGCGGGGGCGUCAAAGCUUACCAAAGAAUAUCAAACUCCGAAUGCCAUGUAGAUGAUGAUCGGGAGUCAGACUGCACGAGAUAAGUUGGGCAGUCAAAAGGGAAAGAGCCCAGA
Molecule: ribosomal RNA, 586 nt
Filed under: Agathobacter rectalis
Lineage: Bacteria; Bacillati; Bacillota; Clostridia; Lachnospirales; Lachnospiraceae
Description: partial 23S ribosomal RNA
Rfam family: Bacterial large subunit ribosomal RNA
Source: RNAcentral